This is a non-coding RNA of Sphingobacterium faecium PCAi_F2.5, 215 nucleotides long. Lineage: Bacteria; Pseudomonadati; Bacteroidota; Sphingobacteriia; Sphingobacteriales; Sphingobacteriaceae. The record is from Rfam.
UACAAAGCAAUGACAGAAAAGCAGUAGAGAAAUAACCACUGUUACAGAAAGCUAGUGGCGCUGGAAACUAGUACACGUUAUUUAUCGAAUUACAUUCUUGAGCUUCUGCCUACAGGGCACGGGUAACAGCGUUAUUUGUUAAGAGGUAUAUAGUAUUUUAAAUAAAUUAAACUAUGUAUAAAUUUGGGUGGUACCACGAGAAAUUCGUCCCUAAG